AGUGAACGCUGGCGGCGUGCCUAAUACAUGCAAGUCGAACGGAGUGGCGCACGGGGGAGUAAAGUAUAGCUAAUCUGCCCUACACCAGAGGACAACAGUUGGAAAAGACUGCUAAUACUCUAUAGUGUAGGAUGAGGCUAUAUUGUAUCAGCUAGUUGGUGAUGUAAUGGCUCACCAAGGCUAUGACGAAUAACUGGUCAGAGAGGACGAUCAGUCACACUUUAACUGAGUCACGGUCCAGACUCCUACGGGAGUCAGCAGUAGUGAAUAUUGCUCAAUGGGCGAAACCCUGAAGCAGCAACGCCGCGUGGAGGAUGACUCUUUUCGGAGCGUAAACUCCUUUUGUUAGGGAAGCGGUACCUAACGAAUAAGCACCGGCUAACUCCGUGCCAGCAGCCGCGGUAAUUC
RNAcentral lists this ribosomal RNA (408 nucleotides) under uncultured bacterium. RNAcentral describes it as "partial 16S ribosomal RNA". It matches the Rfam family "Bacterial small subunit ribosomal RNA", at positions 29 to 526 of the family's 1533-position model. The record is from RNAcentral.